Molecule: ribosomal RNA, 427 nt
Filed under: uncultured archaeon
Lineage: Archaea
Description: bacterial SSU rRNA
Rfam family: Archaeal small subunit ribosomal RNA
Source: RNAcentral
UACCAGCUCUUCGAGUGGUGUGGAUGUUUAUUGGGCCUAAAGCAUCCGUAGCUGGCUGGGCAAGUCCCCUGUUAAAUCCACCGAUUUAAUCGUUGGAGUGCGGGGGAUACUGUUCGGCUAGGGGACGGGAGAGGCAGACGGUAUUUUCGGGGUAGGGGUGAAAUCCUAUAAUCCCGAGAAGACCACCAGUGGCGAAGGCUGUCUGCUAGAACGCGCCCGACGGUGAGGGAUGAAAGCUGGGGGAGCGAACCGGAUUAGAUACCCGGGUAGUCCCAGCUGUAAACGAUGCAGGCUAGGUGUUUGGACGGCCACGUGCCGUUCUAGUGCCGCAGGGAAGCCGUUAAGCCUGCCGCCUGGGGAGUACGGCCGCAAGGCUGAACUUAAAGGAAUUGGCGGGGAGCACAGCAACGGGAGGAGCGUGCGGUUU